GCGGACGUGGUGCACGGCGCACGGCUGCCAUGCAUAGGUGGCAUUCACAAUGUGAAACAGUCAGACGGGGUUCGACUCCCCGCGUCCGCA
Non-coding RNA from Mycena epipterygia, 90 nucleotides. The record is from the annotation of a GenBank genome assembly. NCBI's taxonomy places the organism in Eukaryota, Fungi, Basidiomycota, Agaricomycetes, Agaricales, Mycenaceae.